Molecule: ribosomal RNA, 249 nt
Filed under: uncultured bacterium
Lineage: Bacteria
Description: partial 16S ribosomal RNA
Rfam family: Bacterial small subunit ribosomal RNA
Source: RNAcentral
AACAUCGCGAGGUGAAGCAAAUCCCCAAAAAGUAGUCUCAGUUCAGAUUGUAGGCUGCAACUCGCCUACAUGAAGUCGGAAUUGCUAGUAAUCGCGGAUCAGCAUGCCGCGGUGAAUACGUUCCCGGGCCUUGUACACACCGCCCGUCACACCAUGGGAGCCGGUAAUACCCGAAGUCAGUAGUCCAACCUUGUGAGGACGCUGCCGAAGGUAGGAUUGGCGACUGGGGUGAAGUCGUAACAAGGUACC